Molecule: long non-coding RNA, 218 nt
Filed under: Elaeis guineensis (African oil palm)
Lineage: Eukaryota; Viridiplantae; Streptophyta; Magnoliopsida; Arecales; Arecaceae
Description: long non-coding RNA (EGUI_LNC027263)
Source: RNAcentral
GGAGGUUGUUGGGUCCCAUGUGAAUUUGAGAUGGACACAUACAUCAACAGAAGGAACAAGAGGAAGAAUGAGAAGGAUUGAAAUGGGUUUGGAGGGGAACACCAUAUGGAAAGGGAAGUAAAGGGAUAUUCCUGGUAAGACAUGAGUAAUGAGCGGGAGAUGGAGGUCGGACGUAACCAGAACUCUAUGUAUGAAUGUUUUGGUGUUUGGUCUGAUGC